AAUCAACGCUGGCGGCGUGCCUCAGACAUGCAAGUCGAACGAUUAAAGCUCUCUUCGGAGAGUGCAUAGAGUGGCGCACGGGUGAGUAACACGUAAGUAAUCUACCUUCGAGUGGGGAAUAACGUCCGGAAACGGACGCUAAUACCGCAUAAUGCAGCGGCAUCGCAAGAUGACAGUUGUUAAAGGAGCAAUUCGCUUGAAGAGGAGCUUGCGGCAGAUUAGCUAGUUGGUAAGGUAAUGGCUUACCAAGGCUACGAUCUGUAACCGGUCUAAGGGGACGGUCGGUCACACUGACACUGAAUAACGGGUCAGACUCCGUACGGGAGGCAGCAGUCGGGAAUUUUGGGCAAUGGGCGAAAGCCUGACCCAGCAACGCCGCGUGAAGGAUGAAGUAUUUCGGUA
This 402-nucleotide ribosomal RNA is filed under the name uncultured bacterium. Its description in RNAcentral is "bacterial SSU rRNA". It matches the Rfam family "Bacterial small subunit ribosomal RNA", at positions 32 to 423 of the family's 1533-position model. The record is from RNAcentral.